GACGUAGGAUGCAAGCGUUGUCCGGAUUUAUUGGGCGUAAAGAGUUCGUAGGCUGUUUGUUAAGUCUGAUGUUAAAGACUGGGGCUCAACCUCGGAAAUGCAUUGGAUACUGGCAGACUGGAGUGCAGUAGAGGCUAGUGGAAUUCCCAGUGUAGCGGUGAAAUGCGUAGAUAUUGGGAAGAACACCGGUGGCGUAGGCGACUAGCUGGGCUGUAACUGACGCUGAGGAGCGAAAGUGUGGGGAGCGAACAGG
Molecule: ribosomal RNA, 253 nt
Filed under: uncultured bacterium
Lineage: Bacteria
Description: partial 16S ribosomal RNA
Rfam family: Bacterial small subunit ribosomal RNA
Source: RNAcentral